This 90-nucleotide non-coding RNA is filed under the name Acetobacter tropicalis. RNAcentral's name for it is "Glycine sequence". It matches the Rfam family "Glycine riboswitch aptamer". From Rfam's summary of the family: This family represents the bacterial glycine riboswitch. Glycine riboswitches usually consist of two metabolite-binding aptamers domains with similar structures in tandem. Lineage: Bacteria; Pseudomonadati; Pseudomonadota; Alphaproteobacteria; Acetobacterales; Acetobacteraceae. RNAcentral also lists the same sequence under 1 other name. The record is from RNAcentral.
UUAUCGCGCAGAGGGAGAGACUGGCCUAGCGCCAGCGCCGAAGGAGCAACCGCCCCGGAAACUCUCAGGCAAAAGGACCUUGCGCGAUAA